CUACGGGUCGCAGCAGUAGGGAAUAUUGGGCAAUGGACACAAGUCUGACCCAGCCAUGCCGCGUGCAGGAUGAAGGCGUUAUGCGUUGUAAACUGCUUUUAUACAGGAAGAAACGACUCUUGCGAGAGGCAUUGACGGUACUGUAUGAAUAAGCACCGGCUAACUCCGUGCCAGCAGCCGCGGUAGUAGGGAGGGUGCAAGCGUUGGCCGGAUUAUUGGGUUGAAGGGUGCGCAGGUGGUUUAUUAAGUCAGUGGUGAAAGACGGUCGCUCAACGAUUGCAGUGCCAUUGAAACUGGUAGACUUGAGUAAAGUAGAGGUGGGCGGAAUUGAUAGUGUAGCGGUGAAAUGCAUAGAUAUUAUCAAGAACUCCAAUUGCGUAGGCAGCUCACUUGGCUUUUACUGACACUCAUGCACGAAAGUGUGGGUAUCAAACAGGAUUAGAUACCCUUGUAGUC
RNAcentral lists this ribosomal RNA (456 nucleotides) under uncultured bacterium. Its description in RNAcentral is "partial 16S ribosomal RNA". It matches the Rfam family "Bacterial small subunit ribosomal RNA", at positions 339 to 795 of the family's 1533-position model. The record is from RNAcentral.